RNAcentral lists this ribosomal RNA (1346 nucleotides) under uncultured bacterium. RNAcentral describes it as "partial 16S ribosomal RNA". It matches the Rfam family "Bacterial small subunit ribosomal RNA", at positions 28 to 1381 of the family's 1533-position model. The record is from RNAcentral.
GACGAACGCUGGCGGCGUGCUUAACACAUGCAAGUCGAACGGAAAGGCCCUGCUUUUGUGGGGUGCUCGAGUGGCGAACGGGUGAGUAACACGCGAGUAACCUGCCCUUGACUUUGGGAUAACUUCAGGAAACUGGGGCUAAUACCGGAUAGGAGCUCCUGCUGCAUGGUGGGGGUUGGAAAGUUUCGGCGGUUGGGGAUGGACUCGCGGCUUAUCAGCUUGUUGGUGGGGUAGUGGCUUACCAAGGCUUUGACGGGUAGCCGGCCUGAGAGGGUGACCGGCCACAUUGGGACUGAGAUACGGCCCAGACUCCUACGGGAGGCAGCAGUGGGGAAUAUUGCACAAUGGGCGGAAGCCUGAUGCAGCAACGCCGCGUGCGGGAUGACGGCCUUCGGGUUGUAAACCGCUUUCGCCUGUGACGAAGCGUGAGUGACGGUAAUGGGUAAAGAAGCACCGGCUAACUACGUGCCAGCAGCCGCGGUGAUACGUAGGGUGCGAGCGUUGUCCGGAUUUAUUGGGCGUAAAGGGCUCGUAGGUGGUUGAUCGCGUCGGAAGUGUAAUCUUGGGGCUUAACCCUGAGCGUGCUUUCGAUACGGGUUGACUUGAGGAAGGUAGGGGAGAAUGGAAUUCCUGGUGGAGCGGUGGAAUGCGCAGAUAUCAGGAGGAACACCAGUGGCGAAGGCGGUUCUCUGGGCCUUUCCUGACGCUGAGGAGCGAAAGCGUGGGGAGCGAACAGGCUUAGAUACCCUGGUAGUCCACGCUGUAAACGGUGGGUACUAGGUGUGGGGUCCAUUCCACGGGUUCCGUGCCGUAGCUAACGCUUUAAGUACCCCGCCUGGGGAGUACGGCCGCAAGGCUAAAACUCAAAGGAAUUGACGGGGCCCCGCACAAGCGGCGGAGCAUGCGGAUUAAUUCGAUGCAACGCGUAGAACCUUACCUGGGUUUGACAUGGAUCGGGAGUGCUCAGAGAUGGGUGUGCCUCUUUUGGGGUCGGUUCACAGGUGGUGCAUGGCUGUCGUCAGCUCGUGUCGUGAGAUGUUGGGUUAAGUCCCGCAACGAGCGCAACCCUUGUUCACUGUUGCCAGCACGUUAUGGUGGGGACUCAGUGGAGACCGCCGGGGUCAACUCGGAGGAAGGUGGGGAUGACGUCAAGUCAUCAUGCCCCUUAUGUCCAGGGCUUCACGCAUGCUACAAUGGCUGGUACAGAGAGUGGCGAGCCUGUGAGGGUGAGCGAAUCUCGGAAAGUCGGUCUCAGUUCGGAUUGGGGUCUGCAACUCGACCUCAUGAAGUCGGAGUCGCUAGUAAUCGCAGAUCAGCAACGCUGCGGUGAAUACGUUCCCGGGGCU